This 824-nucleotide ribosomal RNA is filed under the name Dietzia sp. RNAcentral's name for it is "bacterial SSU rRNA". It matches the Rfam family "Bacterial small subunit ribosomal RNA", at positions 56 to 894 of the family's 1533-position model. Lineage: Bacteria; Bacillati; Actinomycetota; Actinomycetes; Mycobacteriales; Dietziaceae. The record is from RNAcentral.
UGCAAGUCGAACGGUAAGGCCCUUUCGGGGGUACACGAGUGGCGAACGGGUGAGUAACACGUGGGUAAUCUGCCCUGCACUUCGGGAUAAGCCUGGGAAACCGGGUCUAAUACCGGAUAUGAGCUCCUGCCGCAUGGUGGGGGUUGGAAAGUUUUUCGGUGCAGGAUGAGUCCGCGGCCUAUCAGCUUGUUGGUGGGGUAAUGGCCUACCAAGGCGACGACGGGUAGCCGGCCUGAGAGGGUGAUCGGCCACACUGGGACUGAGACACGGCCCAGACUCCUACGGGAGGCAGCAGUGGGGAAUAUUGCACAAUGGGCGAAAGCCUGAUGCAGCGACGCCGCGUGGGGGAUGACGGUCUUCGGAUUGUAAACUCCUUUCAGUAGGGACGAAGCGAAAGUGACGGUACCUGCAGAAGAAGCACCGGCCAACUACGUGCCAGCAGCCGCGGUAAUACGUAGGGUGCAAGCGUUGUCCGGAAUUACUGGGCGUAAAGAGCUCGUAGGCGGUUUGUCACGUCGUCUGUGAAAUCCUCCAGCUCAACUGGGGGCGUGCAGGCGAUACGGGCAGACUUGAGUACUACAGGGGAGACUGGAAUUCCUGGUGUAGCGGUGAAAUGCGCAGAUAUCAGGAGGAACACCGGUGGCGAAGGCGGGUCUCUGGGUAGUAACUGACGCUGAGGAGCGAAAGCAUGGGGAGCAAACAGGAUUAGAUACCCUGGUAGUCCAUGCCGUAAACGGUGGGCGCUAGGUGUGGGGGUCCUUCCACGGAUUCCGUGCCGUAGCUAACGCAUUAAGCGCCCCGCCUGGGGAGUACGGCCGCAAGGC